UUUAUGCAAACUAAGGCCCUUUUUUGUGAUAUAUGUGCUCCCUUUAAAAUGAUGUUGUAGGUGACUACUUUCAGGAACUCCAAGGGGAACCAAUUUGAUUAACAGUUCAUGAAGGCUGCUCAUCAGGGAAGUCAAUACAGACUUUCCUAUCAGUAACAGAUGAUUUGAAAGCCAUUCUUCUGACUAACACACUCAGCUAAAGUCAGCUGUAUUAGGACUACAAAUUGCAGACCCCAAUUACUUUUUAAUGAAAACCAGGAAGGAGCCUUCAAUGUGAGUUUUCUAAGUAUGUAUUGCACCUGGAAACAAUGUUAGUAAGCAGGUACAGAGCUGUUAUAAAAGCCAGUUCUUGCUGCGAUUGGUUAUUUUCUGAAUUUUCUGCUGUUUGUUAGCUACCAUAGAGCAGUCAUUUCCUCAAGAAAGUUUUCAGGAUGAAGACCUCCUUGGUUGCUCAUCAGCAACAGGAAACGCUCCCUUCAUGGACACUCCAUCAUGUCCAGCUGUACCAUAUGAAAAAGAAAAAAGCCUAUUCAGACUACAUGUACAGAAUCCUUAAGCAGGUUCCUCAAGGAACAAAUAAAUACUGUGGUGCACUAGAUAUGCUUCGCUCCCUAAACAAACCUCAUCUAUAUGGAAAGGUGGCUUUGGAGGCCUCAAGGAUGUCCCACUAUAACAAGAAGCAUCUAAUCACCAGCAGAGAAGUUCAUGUGGCAGUAAGAGUAGUCCUUCUUGUGGAGGCCUUGAAGGGCAGUUUGUUCUCAACCAAACAUGUAAAUUCUGCAUGAAAUAAGUUCUGCUCAAAUUCUGGAAAGCUAUUUUUAAAACUGACUACUUUUUUCAUCUCAUUUUUUGUAAUAAAGGCAUGUUUGACAGCUGAUUGAAUGGCUCA
This 889-nucleotide long non-coding RNA is filed under the name Pogona vitticeps (central bearded dragon). RNAcentral describes it as "lncRNA (ENSPVIG00000006241.1)". Lineage: Eukaryota; Metazoa; Chordata; Lepidosauria; Squamata; Agamidae. The record is from RNAcentral.